Molecule: ribosomal RNA, 551 nt
Filed under: Oxymeris chlorata
Lineage: Eukaryota; Metazoa; Mollusca; Gastropoda; Neogastropoda; Terebridae
Description: partial 12S ribosomal RNA
Source: RNAcentral
CACCAAGAAGUUGAGUCAUACGAGUUAUGGUGAAAAGAUAGUUAAGCGUAUAGAGUGAUAGGUUGUCUGAUGUAAUGUAUAGAGGUAAAAUUUAAGUGCAGUUACAUAUUUUAAAAGCAACUUGGGAGUUGAAUCUAUGAAACCCUUGAGGGAAACUGGGAUUAGGUACCCCACUAUUCUUGGGCGUAAAUAGAGAGUGUCUACCAGAGUACUAUGAAUGAUAUAGAAUUUAAAACUCAAAGAACUUGGCGGUGUUUUAGACCAUUUAGGGGAACCUGUCUCGUAAUCGACAGUCCACGUUACACCUGACCUUUUUUUGUUCGCAGUUUGUAUACCGUUGUCGUCAGGUAACUUUUUAGAAAGUAGAAGUUGGCUAUAUAAAUAUAAUGGUUUAGUACGUCAAAUCAAGGUGCAGCUAAUAAAAGGGGGAGGAUGGGUUACAAUUAUAGAAUCAUAAUGACGGAUAUUUAUAUGAAAGUGUAAAUUAUGAAGGCGGACUUAAAAGUAAAUUGGAUUAUGCAAACAAGUUUGAAUGCGGCUCUGAAACGUGU